GAUGAACGCUGGCGGCGUGCCUAAUACAUGCAAGUCGAGCGAACGGACGAGAAGCUUGCUUCUCUGAUGUUAGCGGCGGACGGGUGAGUAACACGUGGAUAACCUACCUAUAAGACUGGGAUAACUUCGGGAAACCGGAGCUAAUACCGGAUAAUAUUUUGAACCGCAUGAUUCAAAAGUGAAAGACGGUCUUGCUGUCACUUAUAGAUGGAUCCGCGCUGCAUUAGCUAGUUGGUAAGGUAACGGCUUAUCAAGGCAACGAUGCAUAGCCGAACUGAGAGAGUGAUAGGCCACCCGGGAACGGGACCACGGACAAGACGACUACGGGAGGGAGCAGUAGGGAAUCUUCCGCAAUGGGCGAAAGCAUGACGGAGCAACGGCGCGUGAGUGAUGAAGGUCUUCGGAUCGUAAAACUCUGUUAUUAGGGAAGAACAUAUGUGUAAGUAACUGUGCACAGCUUGACGGUACCUAAUAAGAAAGCCACGGCUAACUACGUG
This 497-nucleotide ribosomal RNA is filed under the name uncultured bacterium. Its description in RNAcentral is "partial 16S ribosomal RNA". It matches the Rfam family "Bacterial small subunit ribosomal RNA", at positions 28 to 507 of the family's 1533-position model. The record is from RNAcentral.